UACCAUGUAUACCAUGAACAUACAAUAAAUAUACAGGCCUAUGUCACUUAUGCUUUGCCUUGGAAGCUAUGUAAUCUCUCAUCUCAACAGGAUCUUCCAAAAGUAGUCAGUUAAAUUUAUUAUUUAUUUUUAAUAGUAUACGUUGAUUAUAUAUUUUUUUAUUUUUGUAUUGUCAUUUUUUCUUGAGUCGAAGAUUUAU
Molecule: long non-coding RNA, 199 nt
Filed under: Nicotiana benthamiana
Lineage: Eukaryota; Viridiplantae; Streptophyta; Magnoliopsida; Solanales; Solanaceae
Description: long non-coding RNA (NBEN_LNC014239)
Source: RNAcentral